Molecule: long non-coding RNA, 10479 nt
Organism: Erpetoichthys calabaricus (reedfish)
Lineage: Eukaryota; Metazoa; Chordata; Cladistia; Polypteriformes; Polypteridae
Exons: 2
Source: RefSeq, a predicted model, not a curated record
UUAGCUUUAUUGAAGUAAUUACUUCCAAAGCUGGAAAAAAUGUGAGCUAUAAGCCAGACUAUUUUUACAUAACAGAUCAAUAAUUUCUUUUCCCCACCGCCUGGUGUAAAACUAAUUUCGUCCAAAGAGAGCUUUGGGGAACACAUUGGUUCACAUUUGUACAGAGACUGAGCUCUGCAUUUAGUGAACUGAAAAACCAAAGGGCACUUUCCUCCAUGAAAAAGUGAGGGAACCACACAGAGAGGAAAAGAGGGGACACUACUUGGAAAGGAGAGUAGCAGAUAGCUUGUUCUAACCUUCAAGGAACUCAAGGUCCUUGUAUCCCUCAAGAAUAUCACUUUCAGGCCCUAGAACUUUCAAAUCAGCUUGGCCCACAGUUUGAGAAGCACUGGUCUCAACCAUUGAAAUGUCCAUUAGAUAAGAGUACUUGAACGUUGCUGGGAAAUAGGCCAAGGGAAUAGUGAUGGGAAGUUUGGAUCAUUUUACCGACUCGGACCUUUGAGUCUCGUUCAGCAAAAUGAACAAAUCUUUUUUCGAGUCAUUUCGUUCAUUUCGUUCAUUUUAGCAAAAUAGAAUUAAAAUGUUACCUGUUACCUCCCUAACACAUCUACUGCUUACACAAAUGUUGAUCACACUACAAACAAGACAAAACUAUAAUGCUAUAAGAAACAGAAAAUAUUAAUUCAUUGUUUACCUGGGUCUUUUAGUCUAUGAUUUGCUACUACUGAGCCGGUAAGUGGUCACGUGACAAAAGAACGAACGACUCGUAAGACUCGAGGAAUGAACUAAUCAAUUCUCUUUCUGGCUCAGACUGCAUAGGUUAAGCUUAUGGGGCUGUCACGUGAUGAACGAACGAAUCAAACCCGAAGACUCGAGAGAUGAACUAAUCAAUUCUCUUUCCGGCCCAGACUGAGUUGGUUAGGCUUAUGGGGCUGUCAUGUGAUGAACGAACGACUCGAAAAACCCGAAGACUCGAAAAAACUAUAGAAAGUUGCACAAAUGCGCAUGCGCGACUGAACGAAUCACUCCCACGAGACGACUCGUUCUUCCCAAGUCACAUUAAAGAUUCGUUCAAAAUGAACGAAUCGUUCAAGAAUGACCCAUCACUACAAGGGAACAAUAGUUUUGUUAUUAGGUCUUAGUGGGCUGCUGCUACAGUGCACAGGAAUUAGUGAUAUGAGAUGGUAUUAUGCACAAUGAGGAAGACACUGGAGACCUUGCAGGGAUGUCUAUCCUGUCCUGGUUUUUUUUAUAAAAGGCAACAGAUAUUUCCAGAAGAGAGACGACAUUAUUUUAAAUCUCCUGUAUAAACCCCAAACGUCUAACUAAAGACCAGGCUAUCACAGACGUGUCCUGCUCUGAAGAAGCUAGGGCUCCAUUGCUUAUAUUCUGGUUUAAAUACUGCCAUUGACAGGAUAACUGGAGUCGGUCUGUCGUUCCUCAAGGUGCCGUGCUGAGUAAACUUCACAGCUCUGGGGGUGCUGAAUGUACAAAAUGAGGUCACUGUGUCCUGUUGGUGGACUGUUUAGGCCUAAUCAUGAUACUAAUAAUAUUUUGUUAAAAAAAAUAGCUUUCAUAACACUCAAAAUCACAGACACACAAGAAAAAAAGGAAAGCAGGGAAGUUACAAUAUGACAGUCUUACAAACGAAAAAAUGUAAACGUCUUUACAUUCGCUUUAAAGGCAGCAACGAUAAAAGACUCAAAUGUAAAGAGACAGGAAGUUCUGCAGCCUGGAAGCAGCAGAGCUAAAUGCUUUGUCAUGUAGUGACUGUUGUUUAGCGUAGGAGACAAUAAGUAACUUUUCAUUAGUCCAGUGUUUCCCAACCUCGGUCCUUCAGGUACACUGCGGUUGCAGGUUUUUGUUCCAACCAGCUUCUGUUUUUAAUUGGACUCCUGGGCAAAUUAAGUGAUGUGUUAUUUUCCAAGUUCUGUGUUUUGGGAACAAUAUAGAAAUUAGAAAACUAAGUUUGGUAAAAAUUAUAUAUAUAUAUGUGUGUACUCUUUGCAUUUAUUUGACAGUAAACUAUUUCAACCAUUCUAUGAUGUGCUCCUCACAAACUGAGGGCACCGUGGCGGAUGUUAGCAGAUUGCUGGCCAACCACAAGCGUUACCUGGUAGGUAACCACCCAUACAAUCAGAUUGUGACACAGACUACGAAUGCCGUGAAUAUAAAUAUAUAUAUAUAUAUACGAGGGGGGACCCAAAAAUAACCGGAAUUUUGUUGUUGUUAGGUUGGUACUUGUAGUACGUGGUUGGGCCGCUAGGGCGAUCUAGUUACACUCCUCACAAGUCAGUCUGCCAAGUGCCAUCAGUCUGGAAGGUUGUGCUUGUGUUCAGUGAAUUUUUUUGUAAAAGUAGGUUGCGCAACAGUGUGAGAAGGAAACGCUCUGAUUUGUGGGAGUCGGGCGAUUGGUUCUUUCAUCAUGACAACGCUCCAUCUCACACUGCUCUCAGCAUUCGCCAAUUUUUGGCAAGAAACGGUACGACAACCCUGAACCACCCACCCUACUCACCGGAUUUAGCUCCGUGUGAUUUCUUUUUGUUCCCUUGGAUGAAAGGAAAGCGUUUUGCUGACGCCAAAGAGGUAAAACAAGAAAAGACCAGAGCAUUAAUGGGCAUUACUUCAGACGAAUUUAAAAAAUGUUUCGAACAAUGGAACAAACGGUUAGAUAAGUGUAUUUCCGCCAAUGGAGAGUACUUUGAAGGAAACUAAUUGUAGUUUGUACAGAAAAUUAAAUUAAACACGUUUUAAAAAUAUUUCCGGUUAUUUUUGGGACCCCCUCGUAUAUAUAUAUAUUUUUAUAUAUAUAUUUAUACAUACAUACAUACAAGUGAAACCUUGGAUUGCGAGUAACUUGGUCUGCAAGUGUUUUGCAAGAUGAGCUAAAUUUUUUAAUACAUUUUAACUUGAUAAACGAGCGAGGUCCAGCAAUACGAUUAGUACGUAUACGCUUUGUCCACCGAGCGUCACGUGGGGAUUGGGGGUAAUCGUCUCCCAUGAUCGUUGUCAGUCGGUGUGCCUCACUCAUAUAGUGAACAUCCGCACGAGCGUAUACCGUUUCCUAUAGCAGUGGUUCUCAAACUGUGGGGCGGGGCGUGAAGAUGUGAAAAAAAGAAAACAAGAAUCGAAAAUAUGAAAAAUACAUCUGUUGAAACCAAACCAAAUUAACUUAAACUACAUUCUGAUACUAGAAAAAUAAAUAUAGUUAGAUAAAUGUCGAUAAAAGUUAAGUAGGUAUAAUAAAAUAUGCAUCUGUUAUAUAUGAUUAAUUAAAAGUGAACAAAUUGGUAUUAGUGGGCUUCUUUCAAAAAAAUGUUAGUGGGGUGCGAUUAAAACUGUUAUGAAAACUCAGCUCGCAAAUACUUAAAGGUUGAGAAACGCUGUACUAUAGCAUGAUGACCACGUGCGAGUCCCUGUCAUGCACACCAAAACACGAGGCUGAAUCUCAGUACUUUAGCAAAACCAGCUUUUAUUCAGCGUGAAACAGGAACAGCACGGUUAUUUAUUGUAGCGGGAUCUACCGCUCUCCUAUACACAAGCACAGCCAUCAGGCAGGUCAGCGGCCAAGUAGUACUGUGCUCUUACAUUUAUAACGUUCCAUUGACGGCAGGCACUUAUAGUUUGACCGCAAUCUUUUCUGAUUCUCUUUUAUGGCGAACUGCUACAGUGCUGGGAGCCUGCGGUUGCUUGCUUCGGGACGCUCUUCCGCGUGUUUUCCCGUUGGGUGGAAUCCCAAAAGAGUUUAGAAACCUUACAGUGCGUAAAGCAUUUCUUUAAUUUUGUGUCCAAGUGUAGUGACUCUUCAGGCAGAAGCAACUGUCAUUGGAUUGGUUUCCUUCUUAAAGUCGCAAAAAAAAGAUUCCAGUGAGCCAACAGAUAGCAGGGAUUCCGUUAGUUAGUGUGAAGAUUUUGUAUUAAUCAUUUUUAUACGCAUAUUUUUGGGUUGUAGAACGAAUCAUCUGAGUUUCCAUUAUUUCUUACGGGGAAAUUUGCUUUGAUAUACGAGUGCUUUGGAUUACAAGCAUGUUUCCGGAACGAAUUAUGCUCGCAAACCGAGAUUCCAAUUGUAUGUUAAAAUGUGCCAAGCAGGUAUAUGGGAAUAAUGUGUUUUUUUCUUUUUAACAAUAUUUUCAUUCUACUUUUCUAGGUGUUCUAAUUGUUUAAUUAAUCCAUUAUUUACUAAUUAGUGGGUCUGUUGCUAAAGUACUUGCAGUCUUUGAUUAUUUAGUGUUGUUUGCCAGCGUGUCUGCUCUGCUCAUUUUAAUUGUCAUUAAUAAGAUACAACAAAGGGGGAAAAACUGCACAGAGAAAGGGCAAAAUAUAAUGAAAUCAACAAAAGAAAGAGUUAAGCAUUUAAAUCUAUAGCAAAAGCAGAAAUAUUUCGAAAUGUCUUAUAAAUGUAACAAUCAUGCUGCUGUGCUUUUCUGAAUGUAGAAUAAAAGAAAAAAAUAAUCCCAGCAAAUUAAAUGAGAUCUGCGUUAUCAGGUGUUGUCACUGAUUAGGAAUCUGGUUGGAACAAAAACAGUGUGCCCCCAGGACCGAGGUUGGGUAACACGGAUUUAGAUGACUGCCAACAAAGGGCAUGUCAUAAAUAAUGUAACAUGUUAGAACGACGGGUGGGACCAUUAUCAUGGAGAACUUCACAUGUCAGCAAAACAAUCUUGUAAGAUAUACUGAAGGAAAUCCCAUUUGUCGUGAGCAGUGUUUUUUUUUUCUUUUUAUAAUUCUCCAUCUUUUUUUGUGGCUUUGCCCCCCCUGAUGCAAAUCUUUUAGCAUAAACUGAAAACAUUUAAAUGAAGCUACAGUGUUUAGUACAGUAUUAAUAUGCAGAGUCAAUCAUGAUAUUCGUUAUUCUUUGGAAAGAAAAGUUUUUCUUGCACUUUAUAAAACAUAGCAGCUGGAAAAUGGUGGAUGGAUGGCACACUUAACCUUCACCGUCAGUUUUUUUAUGUGUUUUAUUUUUUUAUAAACUACGCAAUUUCUAUACUUGAGUAAAAGCCGAGUCACCUUUCUAGGAAGUGAGUCAAGUAAAAAUUUGCCCAUUGAGAAAACUAGUCAAGUAGACGUUUUAAAGUAUCUUGAUAUUAAUUGUACUUAAAGGAGUACUCCACCCAAAAAUAGUUACUUCUGGAAUACCCUGCACACAUCCUAAAUAGUAAGCUAAAGCAUCAUGGGAAUGACUUUUUAAACUGAAGACCUGCCUUACUCCUUCAUUGAUUGGUCAAGACUCUGGUCUUCAAUUCAAAAACUGACAGAAGAGGUGUGCGGGCUUUCCCUGCUUUAAGAAGUUGGUAACCUUUCUUCUUCUUUCGGCUGCUCCUGUUAGGGGUCGCCACACUUCCAUAUCCCUGAAAUCUCCAUUGUAAAGUAAAUUUUGGGAUUGCAGACAUUGUGUUACAAUUAAUUUAAAUGGAAUGUAUUUUUGAGCAUUCCCUGCCAUCAAAACAGACUCCAGCUUUUGUUCAGGUAACGCCAAACGGCAUGAAAAUUGGCAGAAUUAGUUUUAACAAUAAUGUUAGUCUUUAAAACAAACCCUAAUAAAAUAUUGUCCUUCAUUUUGUUUUCCAACUGUUUCACAAUACGUCUUUUGAGCUAUGAUAAUGAAGCUAGACAUGAGCAGUACACAUAACAAGGUGAGUGUUCACAUGCUGUGGUUCAUACAAGCCCACCUCAGUGUAACCCGUGGAUGAGCUCUGCUCCAUUUAAGGACAGAGUGUGAAUUUGGUCACAUUCUCUAUGGAAGUAACAGGCUGGAAUUGCACGUCAUUAACAUCCAGCCCCGCCCAGUUCUGUGGACUGCAGUGAGAACGACUACGUAGAUAGGUGACUGGGUGUUCGUGCCAGCAGUGCACACUGGAAAACUGUCGAAAAAUUUUUUCUAUACAUAAAUAUUUGUGGCAGCACGGUGGCACAGUGGGUAGCACUGCUGCCUCGCAGUUGGGAGAUCUGGGGACCAGGGUUUGCUUCCCGGGUCCUCCCUGCGUGGAGUUUGCAUGUUCUCCCCGUGUCUGCGUGGGUUUCCUCCCACAAUCCAAAGACAUGCAGGUUAGGUGGAUUGGCGAUUCUAAAUUGGCCCUAGUGUGUGCUUGGUGUGUGGGUGUGUUUGUGUGUGUCCUGCGGUGGGUUGGCACCCUGCCCAGGAUUGGUUCCUGCCUUGUGCCCUGUGUUGGUUGGGAUUGGCUCCAGCAGACCCCCCGUGACCCGGAUUCAGCGGGUUGGAAGAUGGAUGGAUGAAUAUUUGUAAAGUGAGGGAAGUUGAGUAAAACAUUGUGUGCCAUUGCAUAGCUCUUUUGUUUUCUGGUUUAGCAUUGCAGUAACAAAUGUGUGUAGCAAAAUAUAUCAGGGUAAAAGUAGACAUUUACGUUUGAAAAUGUAGUGAAGUAAAAGUGAAUGUAGGCAGAGUAGAUGUGCAGUGUAGUUCAGAUGAUAAAAUAAUAAAUCAUAAGUGGUGGUAAUGAAGAAAUCUUGGGGGGGGGGUUCAGUUUCAACAGCAGCACCGCUCAGUUUUUAGUGCCAAACUGUUAACUCUUUAUAAUUGUUAAAAGUGGUGCCAUCCAGCCUUUUUAAAUUACAGCUUUGAGAACAUUUAGAAACAGAAGGCAGCAUCAUCCAGGCCACAGAGAAAACUUGCUACAUAUGGUAGUACACAAGAGGGGUGACAAUAAUAGACGUUGGCCAAUAUUUGCUGUUUCAGCCCCCAGCCACUGACGCUGACUCAUUAUGUGAUGCUGACUGAGUCACUUUACCUGCCAGUACUUCAGCUACACCAGUAUGGCUCACACAGUCCAUUGAGCUGCUGUCAGGAAGACUGCUGACUCUAAAUUAGCCUGGUGAUAGAUAGUGUGUGCAUUUGUGUGACGGCCACCAGAGUAAGUAAUGUUCAGAAAAUAGAUAACAAUGCGCUUAAUUCUAUCUAUAUAAUUUAGAUGGUUUGGAGAAAAGUGACAACCAAAAAAAUUUUUUUACUGUAAUAAUUUGGCAGGGAGGACAUGGUGGCGCAGUGGUUAGUACUAUUGCUUCAUUGAUUCAGCAUGCUGAAAUCGAAUCCCAUGCCUUGAAAUUGUUUAUGUAGACUUGUCCUGUGCUCCCUUGUCUGUGUGGGUUCUCCUUCAAUAUCCCCGAACACUGUCGGAGUGUUGGUGCGCAUAUGUAUGGACCCUGCAGUGCACUAGCAUCCAGUUCAGGAUUGGUUUCUAACUGGGAUAGACUCUAGUACCCUGCACUCAGUGCUUGAACCAAAUUGCUGGUGGUAUUCUUUUAAUGUUGACACAGUGACUUUCGGGUGGCACAGUGGUAGCGCUGCUGCCUCGCAGUUAGGAGACCUGAGGUUCGCUUCCCGGGUCCUCCCUCCGUGGAGUUUGCAUGUUCUCCCCGUGCCUGCGUGGGUUUCCUCCCACAGUCCAAAGACAUGCAGGUUCGGUGCAUUGGCGAUCCGAAAUUAUCCCUGGUGUGUGCCCUGUGGUGGGCUGGUGUCCUGCUCGGAGUUUGUUCCUGCCUUGCACCCUGGGAUUGGCUCCAGCAGACCCCCGUGACCCUGUGUGUUAGGACAUGGGUGUCAAACUCCGGUCCUGGAGGGCCGCAGUGGCUGCAGGUUUUCAUUUUAGCCGUCUUCUUCAUUAGUGACCAGUUUUUGCUGUUAAUUAACUUCUUUUGCCUUCGUUUUAAUUAACUUGAUUCAGGCCUCUUGUUUGUCGCCACAUGACCAGCUCACUUGUGCCCAUCACACAAUAUCUAAAAAUAAAGAGAGGUGAUGGCCUUGGUAAGGGUGAUCUCUCAGGUCUCCAAAACAUCUUGACGGUGUUCUUCGAUAAAAACAGAAAAUCAACAGUUCUGGAAAUGUCUGCUGUGGCAGAAUGAGAGCAGCAACAAGUCAUAGAAUUAAAUAAUGGGUUUAAUUAACAGCAAGGAUCAGCUUCUCAUUAAGAAAGCGAUUGGAGUGAAAUUGGUUGGAGUUUGAACUCCCAGUUUAGUUGGUCAUCUGUUGGCUCGUUUCACAUCUCAUUUCUGUUUGGCUGCCAUUUAAUGAAGAAAGGAAUAAAUUCAGGGGACAGGACUGAACAGGGCUAUUAAAAUGAAAGUAAAAGAAGUUAAUUAGCAGUGAAAACUGGUCACUGAUUAGGAAAAGGGUUAGAAUGAAAACCUGCUGCCACUGCGGCCCUGCAGGCCCAGAGUUCGACACCCCUGUGUUAGGAAAUAGCGGGUUGGAGAGUGACUGACUGACUGACAUCAGUUUCUAAUAGGCUCCAUGUUUGAGCAUUACAGAAAACAGUCACAUUUUACAUCAUUUUUAAAAUAGCAGACCCCCGUGACCCAGUGUGUUAGAAUAUAGCGGGUUGGACAAUGACUGACUGGCUGACUAAAAUUGUAUAUCCAGUUAACUGAACCCGGGGGUGGGCGAGCAAAGUGAACAGGGGGGCAGAGCCCCCUAGUUUAUAUGUGCAGUGGGUACGGAAAGUAUUCAGACCCCCUUCAAUUUUUCACUCUAUUAUAUUGCAGCCAUUUGCUAAAAUCAUUUAAAUUAAUUUUUUCCCUCAUUAAUGUACACACAGCACCCCAUAUUGACAGACAAAAAAAAGAAUUUUUGAAAUUGUUGCAGAUUUAUUAAAAAAGAAAAACUGAAAUAUCACAUGGUCCUAAGUAUUUAGACCCUUUGCUCAGUAUUUAGUAGAAGCACCCUUUUGAGCUAAUACAGCCAUGAGUCUUCUUGGGAAAGAUGCAACAAGUUUUUCACACCUGGAUUUGGGGAUCCUCUGCCAUUCCUCCUUGCAGAUCCUCUCCACCGCAUUCAUCUUUCCCUUGAUUGCAACCAGUCGUCCUGUCCCUGCAGCUGAAAAACACCCCCACAGCAUGAUGCUGCCACCGCCAUGCUUCACUGUGGGGACUGUAUUGGACAAGUGAUGAGCAGUGCCUGGUUGUCUCCACACAUACCGCUUAGAAUUAAGGCCAAAAAGUUCUGUCUUGGUCUCAUCAGACCAGAGAAUCUUAUUUCUCACCAUCUCAGAGUCCUUCAGGUGUCUUUUAGCAAACUCCAUGCGGGCUGUCAUGUGUCUUGCACUGAGGAGAGGCUUCCGACAGGCCACUCUGCCAUAAAGCCCUGACUGGUGGAGGGCUGCAGUGAUGGUUGACUUUCUACAACUUUCUCCCAUCUCCUGACUGCAUCUCUGGAGCUCAGCCAAAGUGAUCUUUGGGUUCUUCUUUACCUCUCUUACCGAGGCUCUUCUCCCCCAGUAGCUCAGCUUGGCCGGACGGCCAGCUCUAGGAAGGGUUCUGGUCGUCCCAAACGUUUUCCAUUUAAGGAUUAUGGAGGCCACUGUGCUCUUGGGAACCUUAAGUGCAGCAGAAAUGUUUUUGUAACCUUGGCCAGAUCUGUGCCUUGCCACAAUUCUGUCUCUGAGCUCUUCAGGCAGUUCCUUUGACCUCAUGAUUCUCAUCUGCUCUGACAUGCAUUGUGAGCUGUAAGGUCUUAUAUAGACAGGUGUGUGGCUUUCCUAAUCAAGUCCAAUCAGUAUAAUCAAACACAGCUGGACUCAAAUGAAGGUGAUCUCAAGGAUGAUCAGAAGAAAUGGAAAGCACCUGAGUUAAAUAUAUAGGAGUGUCAUAGCAAAGGGUCUGAAUACUUAGGACCAUGUGAUAUUUCAGUUUUUCUUUUUUAAUAAAUCUGCAACAAUUUCAAAAAUUCUUUUUUUUGUCUGUCAAUAUGGGGUGCUGUGUGUACAUUAAUGAGGAAAAAAAUUAAUUUAAAUGAUUUUAGCAAAUGGCUGCAAUAUAACAGAGUGAAAAAUUGAAGGGGGUCUGAAUACUUUCCGUACCCACUGUAAUAUUAAUUUUUAUUUAUUUAUUUUUUUUAAUUUUGUACAUUUAGCAAUUGAAAGCAUACACUAUCUCAUUGAGUUCCCUUUUAUAGGAUAUUCAGCCGUUUUCAAAGGGUGCAUUUCAGUCAGCCUGGUGCCAGCUAGCCACAGUGAAAGGCUGGGUGGCUCUGCAGGCCUGGAGUUGUGCCUACAAAGAUGUCAGUGAACUACAAGAGGCACAUGAAAAAGUCAUUUUUAUUAAUUAAACACCGCAGGUUUAAUUUUUUAUAAUAACAACCCCAGUUGUAUUUUUUUUUUAAUUUGUUGAAGUUCCUACAAUAAACCAUCAAAUCAUUUGGGUUGAGAAUAUGUUCAAUUCUAACACCCUGGGCUUUUAUUUGUGGACAGAUCUGGAAAAGGUUAACAUUAUUUCCAUUCUGUCUGACUGGAGAGAGUGUGAGAGAUUGAGAGGGAGAGAAUCCAAGUUGGUUUGAGCCCAGGAUCCAUACAAGUCCAGCAUUUGUAACAUUAAAAAUUGAAAGGCAACAUGUUGAUCUUUAUGGUGCUUAUAGUGUGAGAUUUGUUGAAGUGUCUAAAAAUGUUUUGGGGGUAUUUCCUGGUCUUGGCUGUGCAGUUGUAUGGCUGUAAAUAUGUAUUCCUGUACUACCAUGUGUGUUCUUUUGUG